RNAcentral lists this ribosomal RNA (253 nucleotides) under uncultured bacterium. RNAcentral describes it as "partial 16S ribosomal RNA". It matches the Rfam family "Bacterial small subunit ribosomal RNA", at positions 524 to 776 of the family's 1533-position model. The record is from RNAcentral.
UACGGGGGGUGCGAGCGUUGUCCGGAAUCACUGGGCGUAAAGGGCGCGUAGGUGGCCUGAUAAGGGUGUGGUGAAAGUCCGGGGCUCAACCCCGGAUCUGCCGUGCCGACUGUUAGGCUAGAGUACUGUAGGGGCAGGCGGAAUUCCGGGUGUAGCGGUGAAAUGCGCAGAUAUCAGGAGGAACACCAAUUGCGAAGGCAGCUCGCUGGAACGUUACUGACGCUGAGACGCGAAAGCGUGGGGAGCGAUCCGG